AACCAUUCUCACCUGCGGCUAGACCUGCGGAAGGAUCAUUAACAAAUCCAUCAUUCGAUGACCCUACCUUGUGUGCACCUGUAAAAACUGCCCUUUGGAGUAAGGGUUGGUACUGGCUUUCGGUAAUAUAUCGGGCGUGCCAAUUUUUGGUACUGGCUAUCGGUAAGAUAUCGGGCGUGCCAACUUUUUCCAAAGGGUUUUUUUAUAAAUGUCUUUUGAACAAAAUAAAAAUUUUUAAAC
This 240-nucleotide unclassified non-coding RNA is filed under the name soil metagenome. Its description in RNAcentral is "partial contains 5.8S ribosomal RNA, internal transcribed spacer 2, and large subunit ribosomal RNA". The record is from RNAcentral.